This 224-nucleotide ribosomal RNA is filed under the name Escherichia coli. RNAcentral's name for it is "partial 23S ribosomal RNA". It matches the Rfam family "Bacterial large subunit ribosomal RNA", at positions 1660 to 1866 of the family's 2925-position model. Lineage: Bacteria; Pseudomonadati; Pseudomonadota; Gammaproteobacteria; Enterobacterales; Enterobacteriaceae. The record is from RNAcentral.
CAGGUGGUCAGGUAGAGAAUACCAAGGCGCUUGAGAGAACUCGGGUGAAGGAACUAGGCAAAAUGGUGCCGUAACUUCGGGAGAAGGCACGCUGAUAUGUAGGUGAAGCGACUUGCUCGUGGAGCUGAAAUCAGUCGAAGAUACCAGCUGGCUGCAACUGUUUAUUAAAAACACAGCACUGUGCAAACACGAAAGUGGACGUAUACGGUGUGACGCCUGCCCGG